RNAcentral lists this transfer RNA (75 nucleotides) under Uromastyx benti (Yemeni spiny-tailed lizard). Its description in RNAcentral is "tRNA-Leu specifying UUR codons". It matches the Rfam family "tRNA". Rfam says of the family: Transfer RNA (tRNA) molecules are approximately 80 nucleotides in length. Their secondary structure includes four short double-helical elements and three loops (D, anti-codon, and T loops). Lineage: Eukaryota; Metazoa; Chordata; Lepidosauria; Squamata; Agamidae. The record is from RNAcentral.
GUUAGCGUGGCAGAACCAGGAAAAUGCAAGAGGCCUAAAAUCUCUAAACUAGACGUUCAAAUCGUCUCGCCAACA